Molecule: ribosomal RNA, 397 nt
Filed under: uncultured bacterium
Lineage: Bacteria
Description: partial 16S ribosomal RNA
Rfam family: Bacterial small subunit ribosomal RNA
Source: RNAcentral
AUAUUGCACAAUGGAGGGAACUCUGAUGCAGCAACGCCGCGUGAGUGAAGAAGGUUUNNNGAUCGNACAACUCUGUCAUUGGANAAGNAUAAAUGACGGUACCCAAUGAGGAAGCCCCGGCUAACUACGUGCCAGCAGCCGCGGUAAUACGUAGGGGGCAAGCGUUGUCCGGAAUUAUUGGGCGUAAAGGGUGCGUAGGCGGCCUUUUAAGUCAGAUGUGAAAGACCACAGCUUAACUGUGGGAUUGCAUUUGAAACUGAAGGGCUUGAGUGUCGGAGAGGGUAGUGGAAUUCCCGGAGUAGCGGUGAAAUGCGUAGAUAUCGGGAGGAACACCAGUGGCGAAGGCGACUACCUGGACGACAACUGACGCUGAGGCACGAAAGCUAGGGGAGCAAAC